Molecule: long non-coding RNA, 2146 nt
Organism: Neomonachus schauinslandi (Hawaiian monk seal)
Lineage: Eukaryota; Metazoa; Chordata; Mammalia; Carnivora; Phocidae
Exons: 3
Source: RefSeq, a predicted model, not a curated record
UCGGAGGCGAGGCGCGGUGGCCGGCGGGCGCAGGUGGAGCGCGUCUCCGUGCGGGGCGCGCCGUGACCCCGUAGUGACCGGCGCAGACACACGGGCGCGGCUGUGAGCAUUCUGCGUUUUUAUUUCCCAGCGGGGCGCCCUCCUUCCCCGGGGGAGCCGACAGCGGAAACGGGAGGUACGGGUUCCGGCCGGGAGCCCGGGGAAGCGGAGGAGGGGCCGUCCUGCUUCACUUGUCGCGGCCGAACAUGUAACGGAGGAGGUCCACCACCCGGUGACUGUAGCCGUAUUCGUUGUCGUACCUGGGGAGGGAGGUGGCGGGUCAGGGGAGUCCCUCCCGACCGCUCCUGGCCCGCCCCCCACGCCCCCGGGCCCCUCCCCCCUCACCAGGAAAUGAGCUUCACGAAGUUGUCGUUGAGCGCGAUGCCAGCUUUAGCAUCGAAGAUGGACGAGUGGGUAUCGCCCACAAAGUCCGUGGACACGACCUGGGCAUCGGAAUUUCAAAGAUAAGCGUGGGUCGCGGAGCAAGGUCCUCCAGGAGCCCAGGCCCCGACUCUUAGGCACAUGGGCACAUCCCUUCAUCUACGAUAUCUGGUGGAGCCCUGCUUGUGUCCAGGUUCUGGGGACCGUGUGAGGAAGGCACGCGGGGGCUUCGCCUGCGGCCAAAGGACGGAGACCGCAGACACCCUGACGCUGCACCAGUACAUGCUGGCAAUGACGCCAGUCUUCAUCAUGAUGGUGGGCCGCAUAGAGGCCCUCUCGGAGGGCACACGGUGAGGCUGGGUCUGGAUGUCUAGGAGGAUCUGGUCACCUCGGGCCCUCCGCAGUGCCUGACGCGGAAGGAGCUACAGCAUAGAGGCCCUGAGGGAUUGGCCUUAGUGGUGUAUAAGGCCACAGGGGAGGGUUUUCAGGAGUGGGACAAUGUGAUCUGCUUUCCGUAAAACAAGAGGUCCUGGUGGCUGUGUGAGAGCGGAGCUGCAGGAGCUAAAGCAGAGACAGCACCAGAGGAUGGCACGACUGGGAGCAAAGGCAUGGUGGGGGAGCCAUUGUCUUGUUCACUAAGCUUGUAUUGAGCACCUGCUGGGGUGCCAGGCCCCGGGACAAUCAAUGGCUGGAGCCACUGAGUCCCAAAGCCCCUGCUUUCUUGUGGUGUACAUGGUAGCAGGGCCAACAGGGACUAUGGAAUGAAAUUUCAGGUAAGGGAAAGGGCCAGAAAGAGAAUAUCUUACUGAAGACAGAAACUGAAGUAGGGACUUGGAGGAGGUGAGGGCAGAUUAUGUGGCCACCUGGAAGAAAAGCUACCCAGACCAGAGCAACAGCAAGUGCAAAGACCCUGAGGCAGGAAGAGCAGACCUUCCCAGCCCUGCAGUCCCUGUCUUGAUACAUGGUGAGCGGCUCUUUGGCCUGAGGUGGUGACCCAGGUGUGGAGGCUGGUGGGACCACCACAGACCACAGGAGGGCCAUGUGCAGGCCAGGGUCCAGCCCUGUCUGCAAGUUGCCCGGUGUUUUAAGAGACUUCACCAUUUGGCUCGUCCUCCCGAAACCGUCUCUCCUUGUUCACCCCACACACUAAGCAAGUCUAGGAAGGAGAGGUAGAGUUUCCCUGCCACCCCUCCUGCCUCAACUCUCCGCUCUCUCCAACUCACCAUCAGCCCUUCCACGAUCCCAAACUGCUCAUGGAUGACCUUGGCAAGGGGCGCCAGGCAGUUGGUGGUGCAGGAGGCAUUGCUGAAACGGCGCGGGUGUGCGAGGGCCCUGUGAGGCCACUUUUCUCCUCUUGGCUCGACCGCCCCUGUUGUGCCUUCCUGACUCAGGACUCUGCCCCCGCAGUGGGACCAUCCCUGACUGCUCCCAGCCCAGGUCGGGCCCAUUCUACCUAUGCUGCUCAGAAUGCACCCCAGGAAGGUGAGGCCUGUCCCGCUGCUUCUGGUCCCUGCCCUGGCAACCUCCCCACUGUCCUUGCCCCUCCUUACCACGCGGCUCCUGCACCAAGGGCCUGCUGCCGGAGCCUGGGCAGCUCCCCGAAGACACACUGCAGCCCCGGGAGCAGCUCCCGGGGGGGAGGACUGAAGCCUGAGGCAGCCCCCGGGCCAGCAAUGGAUAGUGGUUUACAUUGGAAAGGGAAAGGAGGGCCGCCUGGGUGGCCAAC